Molecule: ribosomal RNA, 414 nt
Filed under: uncultured bacterium
Lineage: Bacteria
Description: bacterial SSU rRNA
Rfam family: Bacterial small subunit ribosomal RNA
Source: RNAcentral
UAAGGAAUAUUGGUCAAUGGACGCAAGUCUGAACCAGCCAUGCCGCGUGAAGGAUGAAGGUCCUCUGGAUUGUAAACUUCUUUUAUCUGGGACGAAAACGGGAUUUUUAUCUCAAUUGACGGUACCAGAGGAAUAAGCACCGGCUAACUCCGUGCCAGCAGCCGCGGUAAUACGGAGGGUGCGAGCGUUAUCCGGAUUUACUGGGUUUAAAGGGUGCGUAGGUGGGCUUAUAAGUCAGUGGUGAAAUCUCCGAGCUUAACUUGGAAACUGCCGUUGAUACUAUAGGUCUUGAAAUAUCUGGGGGUAAGCGGAAUAUGUCAUGUAGCGGUGAAAUGCUUAGAUAUGACAUAGAACACCAAUUGCGAAGGCAGCUUACUACAUAUAAAUUGACGCUGAGGCACGAAAGCGUGGGGA